CGAAAGCAUCUGCCAAGGAUGUUUUCAUUAAUCAAGAACGAAAGUUAGGGGAUCGAAGACGAUCAGAUACCGUCGUAGUCUUAACCAUAAACGAUGCCGACCAGCGAUUAGGAGACGUUGAAUACAAAACACCACCAUCGGUGCGGUCGUCCUUGGCGUCUCGGUCCUUCACGGGGCCGGGGCGCGGGGGUGGCUUAGCCCGGUGGCACCGGUGAAUGACU
Molecule: ribosomal RNA, 221 nt
Filed under: Acanthamoeba sp.
Lineage: Eukaryota; Discosea; Longamoebia; Acanthamoebidae
Description: partial small subunit ribosomal RNA
Rfam family: Eukaryotic small subunit ribosomal RNA (bases 1-168)
Source: RNAcentral